Molecule: non-coding RNA, 236 nt
Organism: Schizosaccharomyces pombe (fission yeast)
Lineage: Eukaryota; Fungi; Ascomycota; Schizosaccharomycetes; Schizosaccharomycetales; Schizosaccharomycetaceae
Source: the annotation of a GenBank genome assembly
UUUAUUCCAUUGAUACUUUCCUACUUGCUAUUUCCUUUUCUUUGGUGUGCUCUGCUGUCUGCAUAACCCAUUUAUUUACACUUUCUAUUCUCUGUCAAUACACUGUUUACUAAUUUAUACUCUAAUCCUACCCAUUGCAAUAAUUUAAUUUUGCUCUUCUACAUUUCGCAAUACAAUACUAUAAACUCGGGAUUUUAAAGGACUCUUGCUCUUCAUAACGCACCUUUCUCUCAAUU